UUUCUGUCCAGAAGUAUCGAGUCCAAACUCCGCCACCGCUUCGCCGCCCAUUGCGCAUAUAAAAGGACCCCCGGCGGGCUCUAGCCUCAUCUUCUUCCCAUCCCCAUCUGGCCAUCUCCUCUUCGCGGAAGCCAUGCGGAGGCAACGAGACUGCGGAGGAGCACCGCUGCGGCGCCGUCCCGCUUCUGCCGUCGCGGCCAUCUCCACGACGCUGUGGCAAACCUCCUCUCGGAGCUCCACGUUGAAGGCCGGGCCGAGCUGCCGCUGCCUGGGUCCCCCGUGUGCGCCGCCCGCAUCCUGUUCACUGCUGCAGUGCUGCCAUCGGCGUGCUUCGCGCUACCCUCCACCACACUCCCGGUUGGCACCGUGCCGCCAACGAUGAUCCCAUGGUGAUGACGACAUGCAGCCUAUCCCUGCUGCGCUGGAGGUCGUCCAUCCUCCACCCUCUACCGGGGACGAGGUACGCCGCGGUGCAUUCAUCCAUGCUUUCACCCCUUCCGACCCAUCUCGGACGGCGCCGCACUGUGGUACCAGCCAGUCGCGACGAGACCGGUAACGCCUCCGCGUGCGGGCAGCCCACUUUCAAGGCCCGGUUGCAGUUCGCCGCAUGGCGCCAUCACCGAGCGUACGUGCUCUCCGUCAACAAGAGCACGGACCACAGCACGUACACUAUGCCACUGCUCUCUUUGUCCUUCAAGAUUAGCUGCAUGAUUAUCCGGCAAAAACGAGUCAUGUACUCACGGGCUGCACUGAUCUGAAGGACAGACUGUCGUUUGCGGGCCGUGUGCUGUUUGCUAGCUGCUUCCACCAGGUGUGAGAGAUCAAUAGAGAUCGAGACGGCGUACAGCAAUCAAAAUAAAUUCGGUUCUCUCUCUCUCUCUCUCCUUUUGCUUUUUGAUGUAUUUCUUUGGUACGUGUUCAUGCAUGCAGCUCAGCUGACGUGCUACUCUGUUUGAGUUCUCUUCUGUUUGAAGUAUGAGAGAAAUCAAAUUUCUAUGUAUAGUGAGCCUUCCAAUUUGCACUAAUUAUUUAUGCAUCUUUUGAUGUACUUGAGGUGCAGGAAUCUACAAGCAAGUUUGAUAAUGCAUCGUAUGUAGUUCAUACUAUAGAAUCUCUAAAAAGGCUUAUAUUUAUGAACGGAUGGAGUAUUAGUUCAUAACAUGCGGAGCUCAAUCUAUAAACCAAGUGUGGACAUCAUACUACAUUUAGUGUUUAAGGUUUUUGAAGAUUGAGCUUUUGUGGUUUCAUGGAUUUUCACUAUUUUGAAGAUGUGGUGACCGCAGGCACAACCACACAAUCGUAUUAUUAUUUUAGUAUUUUUUGUCUGAAGGAAUGAAAAUAGAAAUGCAAAGAAUGUUUCUGCAUAUAUUUUUUGGAAGAUGAUUUAGGCUAUCUAUCCUCAUCUGAUGAGCAUGAGAUCUUUGAUUGAACUACGCGGACAUAUAUUACGGAUAGGUUGGUGCUCUUUUUCUCUGCAUUUUUUGUGGCUCUUUAUAUUGUUUUUUGUAUUAAGCUGACAGACACAGCUCUGUUAAGCUACUUUAGGGCAUGACUGUGCGUGGUCAGUUGCCUGGGGUUCAUUCAGGGCGGCGUGUUUGCUCUGCGGCUCGCCGGCCGCUCCGUUCUUGCCGACCUGGUGGGUUUACUUAUCCUUGUGUACUUGCAGUAGAGUGUGGUCAUCUUAUUUGGUUAUUUGAUUUCGUAGGUGGCCAGCGUUUCGAUUCGGAUCAGUUUCUUAGUGGAGAUCUUGAUAGCCGCUGUCGAGAGAUUUCGUUAGGGAAGCGGCAUGUUGAUUGCACUGUUGGUUCGAUCAUUACUGCUGGUUCUUCCACGUUUGAGGGCCUUGUGUCUACUGCUCGGCCCGCCAUUACGCGAACUGCUUCAUCGGUCGUGCAGAUGGUUGACAGGUCAAUUGGUCGCCCUUCUGCUCUUCCUGCCGGUGUCCAUUUUGACCGUUAUUUAGUUGGUGCUCCGUCUGUGGUUAACCGUCCAAGAGUGGUGCCUUUCCGUGUGGCUGGUGCCUUUGGUCGGCCUACUCCUCUUGGUAAGUUCAACUUUUUUACUGUGCCUGUGCAGCUGCUGCUACUGAUAAUUUCCUUUUGUAUCUGAUUCUAUAUUGUAUACAUGGUUGGUAUUUGAGUGAUGCCUACUCGGUCCAUCUUUCCUUUUAUCUCCAUGUAGAACCAGGUGUGACACCUACUGAAGUAGCGUGCAGAAAAUGCAUGCCAUUUGGCGGCCUCAACUAAGGGCCAGUUCUUUUUUUGGCUUUUUUGGGCUUCCAGAAUAAGCUGCCCUCUACCCAGCUUAUUCUAGAAGCCAAAUCAAUUUUUUUCUUUUGAAAGCCUACUAGUCAAGUCUUAACUAUUAGGCUUCUAAAAAAAUAAUUUUGGUUGGGCUUCUAGAAUAAGCUGUGUAGGGGUAGCUUAUUUCAGCUUAUUCUAGAAGCUAGCAAAAGAACUGGCCCUAAGCGCAGCGGUGACUCACUUACCUGUACAUGCUCUAUAUAUGACCGAUUGUACACUCACGCGCAAGAUCAGCUCAGUAUACCACAAUGGACGAAGCUUACCGCCCCAAAUAGCAUCCUCCGUAGCAAAACAAAUUAAGAAGAAGGGCAAACAUCCAUCCCUAAAUUUUGAUCAUGGGAGCGGAAGCAGCUCGGAGGAGAAUCUUAUAGUAUACAUUCCAAGACGACCAAUACUUGAAACAGUGAGUGAACAGUUGGCCUAAAAGUACAAGGCUACACCUGUUGGUAUGUUCAUGAAGGUAUGAUACAAGCGUCCGUAUUAAUUGCUCUGCCACGAUAGAGAGAUAGUUUCAGAGAAUCCUCCGUUACAUAUGAAGGAGAGGCAGCUAAUACAGAAGAUGAAGCAAUGGAAAAGGCAGCUCAGGUGGCCUUACAAUGCAUCUGUGCAAACUAUAAUAUUUCUAUCAAAGUCCAUAAUUACUACUCCUAUGCCCUUGAAGUCACAAAGGAAAGGUUGUUUACAGCAAGAGAGAAGGCUCAAACAAAGCAAUGGUGGUUCAACAUGGCCUGCCAGCAAGUAACUGCACAGCAAAACGAAACUACAAUACAAACAGUGAUUCUGGCAAAGAUAUGCAACAGCUUCUUCGAUAUAUUACCACUUCACAUAUAUCCCCAGUGCCCAGACAGCGAUGAUCCCAUUAUCACAUACAUAGGCGCGCACCCUCCCGUCGGACGUGUGCAGGAAUUUGCAAAAUCAAUUUAUCACUUUAUCACAGGCACCAAUCCUGCAGGAGGGUAUACUAGGAUGGUCUAAUCCACCAGCAACUACUUCUAGCUCAUUUAUGUAGUGUGUUUGUGUUUCUAUAUACAGUUCUCUGCCUACAGUGAACUGUAUGUAGUGUAAAUAGUUUGUUUGCCUCAGAAGUGUGCCACUUUUAAUUUGUAUC
This is a long non-coding RNA of Triticum aestivum (bread wheat), 3411 nucleotides long. RefSeq lists it as uncharacterized. The record is from RefSeq and is a predicted model, not a curated record. The transcript has 4 exons. NCBI's taxonomy places the organism in Eukaryota, Viridiplantae, Streptophyta, Magnoliopsida, Poales, Poaceae.